This 253-nucleotide ribosomal RNA is filed under the name uncultured bacterium. RNAcentral's name for it is "partial 16S ribosomal RNA". It matches the Rfam family "Bacterial small subunit ribosomal RNA", at positions 524 to 776 of the family's 1533-position model. The record is from RNAcentral.
GACGGAAGGUGCAAGCGUUGCUCGGAAUCACUGGGCGUAAAGGGUGCGUAGGCGGCCGUGCAAGUCUGGCGUGAAAGCCCCGGGCUCAGCCCGGGAAGUGCGCUCGAAACUGCGCGGCUCGAGUGCCGGAGGGGAGAGUGGAAUUCCUGGUGUAGCGGUGAAAUGCGCAGAUAUCAGGAGGAACACCGGUGGCGAAGGCGGAUCUCUGGGCCAUUACUGACGCUGAGGAGCGAAAGCGUGGGGAGCGAACAGG